AUCCUUCUCAAGGUCAAACGGGCAUGAUGACGGGUUAAUCUCAUUGAUAUAUGGGAGAUGUGCCGACCCACCCCUUGUUACGCAUUGGCGCAUAGGACCGUCUGACC
This is a small nucleolar RNA of Ciona intestinalis (vase tunicate), 107 nucleotides long. Ensembl annotates it as small nucleolar RNA U13. Lineage: Eukaryota; Metazoa; Chordata; Ascidiacea; Phlebobranchia; Cionidae. The record is from Ensembl.